AAUGAACGCUGGCGGCGUGCCUAAUACAUGCAAGUCGAGCGAACAGACGAGGCGCUUUCUCCUCUGACUUUAGCGGCGGACGGGUUCUUCACACGUGGUUAACCUACCUAUAAGACUUUGAUACCUUCACGAAACCGUGUCUACUACCGAAUAAUAUAUUGCACCGCAUUGUUCAAUAGUGAAAGACGCUUUUUCUUUCACUUAUAGCUUACUCCGCGCCGCAUUAUCUAGUUGGUAAGGUAGAGGCUUACCAAGGCAACGAUGCGUAGCCGACCUGAGAGGGUGGUCGGCUACACUGGAAGUGAGAAAGGGUCGAGACACCGAGGGGAGGCAGCAGUAGGGAAUCUUCCGCAAGGGGGGAAAGCGGGACGGAGCAAAGCCGCGGGAGGGAUGAAGGUCUUAGGAUCGUAAAACUCUGUUAGUAGGGAAGAACAAAUGUGUAAGUAACUAUGAAGGUAUUGACGGUACCGAAUCAGAAAGCCACGGCUAACUACGUG
This 497-nucleotide ribosomal RNA is filed under the name uncultured bacterium. Its description in RNAcentral is "partial 16S ribosomal RNA". It matches the Rfam family "Bacterial small subunit ribosomal RNA", at positions 29 to 507 of the family's 1533-position model. The record is from RNAcentral.